GCCGGGCGUGGUAGCACACGCCUGUAGUCCCAGCUACUCUGGAGGCUGAGGUGGGAGAAUCGCUUGAACCUAGGAGGUGGAGGUUGCAGUGAGCUGAGAUCAGCCACUGCAUACUCCAGCCUGGGCUACAGAGUGAGACUCUUUCUCGA
Molecule: non-coding RNA, 149 nt
Organism: Homo sapiens (human)
Lineage: Eukaryota; Metazoa; Chordata; Mammalia; Primates; Hominidae
Rfam family: Metazoan signal recognition particle RNA
About the family: The signal recognition particle (SRP) is a universally conserved ribonucleoprotein. It is involved in the co-translational targeting of proteins to membranes.
Source: Rfam